CAGUAGCAGCGGGGAUCAUGUUUCUUAAUGGUCCCUCUAAGCGAGAAAAAUGAGAAAAAAUCACCCCUCACACAAACCAUUUCAUGAUAUAUAUCAAAGCAUUUGUGAUCAGUUUAUGUAUCAUCUAUUUUUGGGGGGUUUAUAUCAUGGCAAAAAUUUGGCCCGUCGCUGCUACACGGUAAAGCCACAAAUUUGGCCCAUCGCUGCUACACGGUAAAGCCACAAAUUUGGCCCGUCGCUGCUACACGGUAAAGCCACAAAUUUGGCCCGUCGCUGCUACACGGUAAAGCCACAAAUUUGGCCCGUCGCUGCUACACGGUAAAGCCACAAAUUUGGCCCGUCGCUGCUACAAGGUAAAG
Long non-coding RNA from Eriocheir sinensis (Chinese mitten crab), 359 nucleotides. RefSeq lists it as uncharacterized. The transcript is spliced from 2 exons. The record is from RefSeq and is a predicted model, not a curated record. NCBI's taxonomy places the organism in Eukaryota, Metazoa, Arthropoda, Malacostraca, Decapoda, Varunidae.